CGGGUGUGUAUAGAGUGGCGAACGGGUGAGUAACACGUGACCAACCUGCCUCUUACAUUGGGACAACCAAAAGAAAUUCUGGCUAAUACCAAAUACUCCGCACAUAUCACAUGAUGUAUGCGGGAAAGCUUUUGCGGUAAGAGAUGGGGUCGCGGCCCAUUAGGUAGACGGCGGGGUAGAAGCCCACCGUGCCGAUGAUGGGUAGCCGGGUUGAGAGACCGACCGGCCACAUUGGGACUGAGAUACGGCCCAGACUCCUACGGGAGGCAGCAGUGGGGAAUAUUGCGCAAUGGGGGAAACCCUGACGCAGCAACGCCGCGUGCGGGAUGAAGGCCUUCGGGUUGUAAACCGCUUUCAGCAGGGAAGACAUCGACGGUACCUGCAGAAGAAGCCCCGGCUAACUACGUGCCAGCAGCCGCGGUAAUACGUAGGGGGCGAGCGUUAUCCGGAUUCAUUGGGCGUAAAGCGCGCGCAGGCGGUUGCUCAAGCGGAACCUCUAAUCUCGGGGCUUAACCUCGAGCCGGGUUCCGAACUGGACGACUCGAGUGCGGUAGAGGCAGAUGGAAUUCCCGGUGUAGCGGUGGAAUGCGCAG
This 593-nucleotide ribosomal RNA is filed under the name uncultured bacterium. RNAcentral describes it as "bacterial SSU rRNA". It matches the Rfam family "Bacterial small subunit ribosomal RNA", at positions 81 to 693 of the family's 1533-position model. The record is from RNAcentral.